Molecule: RNA transcript, 9565 nt
Organism: Aethalodelphis obliquidens (Pacific white-sided dolphin)
Lineage: Eukaryota; Metazoa; Chordata; Mammalia; Artiodactyla; Delphinidae
Gene: QKI
Gene name: QKI, KH domain containing RNA binding
Exons: 8
Source: RefSeq, a predicted model, not a curated record
UGAGGCGAACUCCGCCGCCAAGAGAGUGAGGAGGAGGAGGAGGCGGCGAGGAGGAGGAGGAAGAGGAGGAGCGGAGUCAGAGCGCGGCGGCAGCGGCAGAGGCGGCCGCGGCGGAGACCAGCCCAGAGAGACCCCGAGCCCGCGGCAGAGGCGGCGGCUGAACGGGCGCGACCAGCCGAGCGAGAGGCGGCGGCCCGGCUCCUCUUCGUCCGGCGCCGAGCGGCCCGCGCCCGCACUCGGCCCGCGGAGACCCGCCUCCCGCCCGCCGGCCUCGUGAGCGACGCGCCGAGCCGGCGGCCGAGGAGCGGCGGCGGGUCGGGAGUGCGUCGGGCCGCGGGCGGAAAGUGCCUGCGGGGGCGGGGAGAGCGCGGUGAGCGCGCGGUCCGGCCGCCCCGGCGCCCGGCGCGGGAGCGGAGCGGAGCGGGACGCCGAGUCCGGAGCGGCCGGCUGCCGGGGCUCCCCGCCCCUCCCUCCUCUCCGGCGGCGGCGGCGGCGGGCGGAGUGAGCUGAGGAGCCUGGAAUAUGGUCGGGGAAAUGGAAACGAAGGAGAAGCCGAAGCCCACCCCAGAUUACCUGAUGCAGCUGAUGAACGACAAGAAGCUCAUGAGCAGCCUGCCCAACUUCUGCGGGAUCUUCAACCACCUCGAGCGGCUGCUGGACGAAGAAAUUAGCAGAGUACGGAAAGACAUGUACAAUGACACAUUAAAUGGCAGUACAGAGAAAAGGAGUGCAGAAUUGCCUGAUGCUGUGGGACCUAUUGUUCAGUUACAAGAGAAACUUUAUGUGCCUGUAAAAGAAUACCCAGAUUUUAAUUUCGUUGGGAGAAUCCUUGGACCUAGAGGACUUACUGCUAAACAGCUUGAAGCAGAAACAGGAUGUAAGAUAAUGGUCCGAGGCAAAGGCUCAAUGAGGGAUAAAAAGAAGGAGGAGCAAAAUCGAGGCAAGCCUAAUUGGGAGCAUCUCAAUGAAGAUUUACAUGUACUGAUCACUGUGGAAGAUGCUCAAAACAGAGCAGAGAUCAAACUGAAGAGAGCCGUUGAGGAGGUGAAGAAAUUACUGGUACCUGCAGCGGAGGGAGAAGACAGCCUGAAGAAGAUGCAGCUGAUGGAGCUUGCGAUUCUCAAUGGCACCUACAGAGAUGCCAACAUUAAAUCACCAGCCCUUGCCUUUUCUCUUGCAGCCACAGCCCAGGCCGCUCCAAGGGUUAUCACGGGGCCUGCGCCCGUUCUCCCGCCAGCUGCCCUGCGCACCCCUACGCCAGCUGGCCCUACCAUAAUGCCUUUGAUCAGACAGAUACAGACCGCUGUCAUGCCAAACGGAACUCCUCACCCAGCUGCUGCGAUAGUCCCUCCAGGGCCCGAAGCUGGUUUAAUCUACACGCCCUAUGAAUACCCCUACACGUUGGCGCCAGCUACAUCGAUCCUUGAGUACCCUAUUGAACCUAGCGGUGUAUUAGAGUGGAUUGAAAUGCCAGUCAUGCCUGAUAUUUCAGCCCAUUGACUUGCUGGAUGAAGGACUAGAGUACAGCAGCUGUUCUAACACGACCAGUCAAUGUGGAACAAACUGUUUCCGGGCUGCCCCUUUGUUUUACCAGACAGAAUUUGAAUUCUUUUUUCUUGAAUUGUAUAUGACCUUGGUGCUGCAUGCAUGUUGUUGACUUUUAGGACUUUGAUCUUUUAAGUUCUUUUUUUCCCAGCAUUAAUAUUGAUUUCUAAAAAUAUGAAAGUCUUUAAUGAACCCGGACACUAAGAUUUAAACUUGAAAAUUCAUUGUUCAAUUAAAAAAAGCCACGAUGCUCUGUAUGUUAUCUGUGUGUGUGCAUGCACUCAGGUGCCUUUUGUUUCAUGAGCAGAUACAUUUUAUUGUACAUGUUUUCUGUUUAUCUCUAAAUCAUUGUAAAAAGUAUUAUAGGUCAGAAUUAUACAAUAGAACUGUUUAUGAGAGGCCUGUUUCUGUUGCAUAUUUCUCAAAGCAUUUUUAAAAUAACAUGUAACCUAUAACCCCUUUACGUUUUCCUUUCUGUUAACGCUCUGUCCUGUGGCCCCAUGCCUGCUCCUUUCCCCCAGAGCUCCUCUCUGCUGCACGCACAGCGUCUGUUCGAGGAGUUUGACUGUUGCUUCCUGCAGGGCUGGCACUCUUAGCCACCAGCUGCUGUUCCAGCACUCUGAAUGCAAGAUCUCGCUGAUUUUGCCUCGUGGAAUUAUACUUACAUAAGAUUAGUUUUUCUAAAAUGAAAAAAGGGGUGAUGGACCAGUUUACUGCUUAGAAACAGCAAGAGGCACUGCAGUAAAAUUUCUCAUUUUAAAGCAAUGUGCUUUUGUUGUGUUGGAAAAUUUUUAUUUAUAAUACUUAAUUAUUAGACUGACAAAAUUGAAAGCAAAAUAUACAGAUACCUAUUGACAUUCAUAAGAUGAAUAAUAUUGAGUACUAAAUGACAAGAUUCCAUUAUCAAUUUUAUUUCUCGCUUUGCCACCUAAGCAGUAAAACAUGAUAUUGACCACUUGGAGAACUGAGAAAAUAUUUCAAAUUGCUGUGUUAUAAUAAAUUUGCACACAGAUAACAUGCAUGCUAUAUAUCAAGUCUCAUCAUAUUAUUUUAAAAUGAGCAGUGCCCUUCAAAACGGAUGCAGACAUGUGUGUUGGUGGUAGUGAGGAGAUUGGUAUUAGCAUCAGAUCUUCAUUGAUGACUAAUUUUUAAUUCCCUUCCUUUUAUCUUUAGGUAUGGCUUUCCCAACGAAAGGCUAAGAAUUCAAGAACGGUCUUAACUGAACCCUCAUCAGAUCUGAAUUUAACAAAUGCUUAGUCUCAGCAGCCUCCAGGGGGUGGGAGGGACGCUUAGCCUAGCAGUCAGUGACUGACUUGCACUUUUGCACACUGAUAGAAAGGAAAAGUAUGUUAUUAAUUGGUUUAGGCUGUAAUCUUACAAAGUAACGGUAAUUUAUAAAGGAGUGUAUAGUAGUAUACUGACUGCUACGUGUACUAUACUGUUUGCUUUACUAAUCACCUAAUUCAUUGCAGUUCAUACUUAUUGACUCAAAGUUUAGAACCACAAUCUGUAGGCUUUAAGAAUUGCUUUUAAACCUUCUUAAGUGAUAGACUCUGGAAGUGGUCUUAAGGUUAGCAAAUAAUUGUCAGUAUUAAACAUGGCAUUAUUUAAGUAGUCCUGCUGCAAGAAAGGCACUUCAGUGAAUAUGUGACUAGUAAAGCUUAACUAUGUUUGGAUCUAAUAGAGUUCAUGAAAUCUGUAACUUGGGAUUGUAAAUGAAUGGAUAAAAUAGGUUAAGGCCAAGAUUAUUGAAAUGAAUGCAAUAUUAAUAGAUGCAUAUAUACGCAACAUAUUAUGGUUAAUUUUAAGACUACUGUGCCUUAACAUGUUUCCUAAAAGAAAACUUUUGUAGUAAACAAACAUUUGAAAUCCAUUUUGAUAAACCUGCUGUUAAUGUUUGUUAUCUUUUCCCUUGUGAAUGUUCUCUAACUUUGUCUUGGUAAUUGCAAUUUAACUAGGUGCGGUGGCUACUAAAGUUCGAAGGCACGAUAUGCGUGUCCAUCCUUACCAAAGGAUUGUGACCGCAGACCGAGCCGCCACCGGCAACUAACCUAUGACCUUCUGACCUCUGAACUCUUCACCCAAUGAUGACCUGACCAUGCCUGCCUGCUGAUCAGUUAACUGGUAAUCGCCUUUGCUUGCCUGUCGUCAGUGCAGCGAGCUGAGGCACUUGUCCGUUCGUCUUACCAUCUAACCAAACAAAAGACAAAGAAAUUGUCCUCCAACUCAGCUUUUGUUUUUUUUCGGUUUUUUUUUUUUUUUUCUUUUUUCUGUUUGGGUGAAAGUGGUUCUAGAACCUGCACUGAAUAGUAGUAAAGCAAUAAGGCCCAAUUCAUCCCACAGCACUGAUCAUCUUUUAAUGUCCCACCCUAAGCGAACGGUAAGAAGGCCUCACUUCAGAAGGGGAGACAGAUGGCCCUUAACUACUCAGUGACAGAGGCAGUUACUGUGAGAGACUUCUAGGAAUCUUUUCUUCUCAUAGCGAGUCAAAGCUCUCUGAAUGUACUGUGUGAUGAUGCAUCAUGCAUGAACCUUUGGUCAGGGAUGUCAUUGGUGAAGUGAUUUCAAAAAGUAUUCAAAAUUUGAUAUGCUCUUUAGUCACUACAGUGCCCUCAAAGGGCAGAAGUUGCAGCCUUUUUUAUAUUGCCUGCCAAAAUUUGAAGUAUUAGAAGUGUGCCAUGAGAGAAAAACUUAAGGAAUUUUGAAAAGUAAUGCAAAGAACAAAACUGCAACACUAUUUUUAAAAAGAUAAAUAUCUGAGUUAAAAUGACUGAACCUUUAUUUUACACCUCCUUUAAAAAAUACACAAGAACAAGGUACAUGCAUUAUGUGUCACAUUACUGGGCAAACUGUUCAAAUAUUUUUUUUAAACCUCCCUGUAUAGAAAAAAAUCAUUAAGGAUGUAAAAGCCAUGCUUGCCUAUUUGCUGUAUACAUGUAAUGAAAUUGUAGAUAAAGUGUAGUGCAUUGAAACAAAUGAACAAAAAGUAGAUACUUUUACUAUACAAGGGUGCUGGUGCAGAAAAAAUAUAUAUUUUUGGAAAUGUAGCAUUUUAUACUUUCAAGUGUUAUAAAAAAAAAAAAGAACAAAGAAACCCUUUAUUUCAUGAAAUGAUUUUUUCUGGUGGUUGUCAAGAAACAAAAGACCAAAAGAGCCUUUUUGUCUUUUUUUUAUUUUUUAAGUAUUGGAAUAAGUCUAAAGAAAAGAAAGUGCCUUAUUUUCCUUCAUGGUCAUUUAGUCAACUGUCCUGUAAGAUCAGCUCCUCCCUCAGAAUACAAGUUAAUGCAUGUUACUCAGUCGCCCAGUAUGUGAAAGAAGAUGUGAGGGGAGACAAAUGAGUUGAUGGUUUGAAUUAUAUGAUUUUUGCCACGUUACCUUGAUAUAAAUUUGCCAAAUCUGAUACUGUGAAAAAAUUUGAUAACUUUUCUGAUGCCUAGCAAGUAAGGUUUAAAGCAUUCUUUUAAAAUCAUAAUUGCGUGCUUUUGGUUAUUGCGAUAUUUAAUGUUAGUCCAAAGGAUUCUGAAAUAAAAAUUAUGUGUGAUCUGAACACCACUUUACAGACAAAAUUAGAGCUCUAUUUUGUUGGGGGGGGGAGGGGUAUUGGAUUUUUGUAUUAUUAAUUGGAGGCAAUAAUAUUAUAUUAGCAACCUUUUUCACAAAAACGAAUCUUUCUGCUUUUCACUCUGGAAAACAAGGUUUUUAAAUGAACCAAAUUUAAUCGGACUUGUUUCUACCAAAGCAGAUCACUGGGUAGUCCAUCUCUGCUGGUUUUAGUAACCUAAGCCAACAACGCCCCCUUUUUAACUUUAAAAGAAUGUGAAAAACUAGCAUCAUUGUGCAUAUAAUACUCAACUACAUGUGAGUUUAAACUUCCAGUUUCUUACGAAGUUCAGUUUUGUAGUUGAAGCGAUUUGUGCACAAAGCCGACAUCUAAACUCUUAAGUAAUCAUUAACUGCUCAGUACCAGACGUGGCAGAUAUCAGGUGGCGGUGGCUCCCCAGCUCGUCAGCUCCUUCCCUCUUACACACCUUCACAGCUUCACAGUCAAAGGUCAGCAGUAAGCUCAGUAAGCACCUUUGUGGUGACCUCCUCCAUCAUCUUGUCUCACUUGGAAACCGUUUUCAGUUUAUUUACUAUGCAAUAGACAUUCAUUGUUCUGUAUUCAGCUAGCUUUAGUUUAACAUGCCACUGCUUUGUCUUUCUGUUACACAUACAGUUGUUUUGAUUUAUUUACAAUAUAUGCUGUGCCAUUUUGAUUUUUAUUUUGUUCGGUUGGUUGAAUAAAUUUGCGACACUCAAACACUUGAGGUGAUAGUUUAAAAAUGAUACCAGUAUUUGAUCUAGUUUCAUCUCAACUAUGUUAUACCUGGACAUUUUAGAUGUUUAUCAAAGGUCUUUUAUGGGGAAGAAAGUAAAUGUUUGAAAUAAACGUGUGACAUUUAUGAGUAAUGUUGGCUCUGAACAAACGUUUGAAAACUUAGUUGACAAACUUUUGGAUCAACUGAAAAAAAGCAUGACUUUUGAAAUCUCUGAAUGCCUUGGUUCUCAGUAUUAUCAUUCUUUAUUGAAUUUAUUUCUUAUUAAAAUAUGUAGUUUUUAAGACUUUUUUUUUCUGACAGUAUUAUGUAAUUUUUUAGUGCGGGUAGAUGGGAGUGUCGCUUGUAUGUUACCGUACAGCUGACAUGUAUUUUUGUCUAUUCUUUAUUAUCUCAGUAGUUUCAUGCUAUCUAUGUAUCAUAACCAACCUAUUGCCUAUGAGAAACAUGUAAGAUAAUGUAUUUACAGCCAUUGUUACAAGUUUAUAAUGUAUUUUUCUAUCUUGUUUUAUAUGUAUGUUAUAUAACAUUCAAAAAGAAUUUUUUUCUUGAUUGAGAAAAGGAUACAAAAAUGCAAAAUCCACAAUUUUGAUAACUGAAAAUUGCCAAUUGUUUUGCAGUACUUUAUUAUAUUGGGUGUCUUGUCUUUCUUGGGCUUUUAGUUAGCUAAUGAAUGAAUACAUUAGACACUUUCGGGUUUUAGUUGGGAUUUUACAUAGCUUGCAUUUUAAUUCUUUGGUUCUUUGCUGUUUCUAUUAACCCAUAGCAUUAUUUUAAUAAAUGUUAUAAUACCAACCUACUAACUCUGGACUAUGUCUGUUUAUUAACCUUUACGUGUUUAAUUAAAAUAAACAAAUAAAGACAAAGGAAUGUAAAGUCUUGAAUUCCUGGACUAACCCUGAAGAACGUGACCACAGAUAACAUAGUCAUAACGUGACUUGUUUUUAUGUUGUUUGUCAGCUGACAAUUCCGCACACUACUGUUAAAAUGGCUUUGGUUAUUCUGGGCUUUUACUUCGGGGUGGGGGGGUAGGUAGGUGCCAAUAGAGAUGGGAACAAAGUAGUGUUGGUUUGAGGCGUUCUUCUAGUCUUGCCACUUGCCUUUCAACCUCUGCAUUACUAAUUCCACAAUUUCUUAUUUUUCCUUCUCCAAAAUAAUCACUGUCUGCUCACAGCAUAAAGAGUAAAGAGAUUCGUCAUAAUGAUAUACCCAAGAAACCAGUUUGAUUCUUUGUUGAACCAUUUUUUGAAAUUUCUAUAAGUAGAUAAUUUUAUGGUCACAUAAAGCAAGGAAUCUGAUGUCUUACCUUUAUUCAGAUUUGUGUUUUAAUUGGACAUUUUUCCUUUAUAAAGACGUUUUGAACUGUUUUAGCCAGCUGCUCCUGUUAGAGGGGCUAAACACAGGUAAAGCCAAAGGUAGAGUGGCUCUGUGUCUCAGGACAGUCCAGAGUAAGCCGUUCACAACAACCACAAACCCGCCUCUCCUCGUGGAACCCUCAGCAGGAGGUCAAACAGCGUCACUCAGCUUUAUGUCUCACCCUGUUAAAAAUACAGUCAGAAUACAUUAAUAUAAGAAGUUUAAGGGAGAAGAAAUAGCAUUUGAAAAGUUAUAUAUAUCAUGAUUUUGCAUGCAGGUCAAUUUAAGAAGAUCUAUUAAAUAUCUUCAUGCUUUCCUUGGCUGCAACCUAGGUAAAUUGACCUCUACUUAUCAAUUCUUUAGUGUAACUCUUGAGGUGCAUUUUUAUUUCACAGAUAUUGGUAUUUCCUGUUCUGUGAAAUAGUUCUCCUGGAUAAUAAAAUUUCUCAGGAUGAAUUUUUGCAUUUGUAAAUAAUGCUUAUUUUUGUAAAUUACAUUUUAUUUAUUUUAAAGUUCUAAAAUUUGGGGCUAAAAUGAGUCACAUGUUACAGAAGACAUAACACCAAUAUGCUAUUAACCAAUCAAAGUACUACCAUAGUAUAUAUACAUACAUGAAAUACAUAGAAUAGCGAGAGCAUCUGAUUUAAUCAUAGUUGAGAUGGUUCUUUGGAUCAAACAAAUAUAUUGUUUCUCCAGUGGGGGGGGGGAUGCAUUAUUAUUAGGUAGAGCUUUACUAUGCUACUCUGUAAAAGUUCACAUUGCCAUACAGCUAAUAUAUAUUCUGUAAAAAUCUGAAGAUGUCAUUCAAGCUGCUAAUAUGCAAGUCAUCAUGGCACCAUGUCACUGAAAUUGAAGAAGAAUUUCUAUACAGUUUAUUCCACAUUUUCUGAAGCCUGUGAAUGCAGUCUCAUCUCAUUUUCAGUUAAGAGUACUACUUUUAUGUAUAAUUAUGUCACAUUGCCACCUUUUAUGUUGUAAAAGUCCAUUUUUAAAAGACAGAAAUAACAUUACAAAACCCACUUUUAUACAGGCUGUAAUAGUAUAAAAAAUGGAAUCACCGAGUUGUUAGAAUGAUAAAAUGCCAGAGGCAGUUUAUUGUUUUAUGCUACUAGUACUUGACAAAGCAAUUGAAAGUUAAGCUUUCAGUCGAGAAGUUGGUGAAAUUAAUGUACUUAGUAGUCAAGCAUUUUUUUCUUAGGCAAAAUGUCAGGAAAAAUGUAGUAUGAAAGUCGAUAUUCACAUACACCUACUCUGUAGGGCAGAGUCCACCUAAAAGGGCAGUUGAAGCACCCUGUCCAUAAAGCCAAGAUGUGCAUAUGUUUACACAAGAUAGGAGGUGGUUAAGUUUCUAAAAUACUGGAUAAAUAUGAAGGAUCUAAAUUUUCUAGUACACCAAAAGCGGACAACAGGUUUAAAUUGCUCAUUACCAAAUCAAUCUUUUUUUUUUUUUACCAGCUAAGUCUAACACUUUUAUAAAUGGCAGUCUAAGGCUUCUCCAGUUUGGGGGGAGGGGGAGGGGUUUGUUUGUGUGUUUGGAAUAAGAUGUCUGUCAUUCCUUGAUAACAAUUAGCAAUUGUAGCAUUUCCAGCAAGUCAUUUUUAGUAGAAAGAAAUGUAUUGCUAAAUUACAAUCCAUUAUUUAAUAGCAGAAAUCACCCAGAAAACUUUUUGGACUCAAACUUUCUAAGUACAUAAGGUAAUUGUUAAACAUUGUCACAAGUUUCUUAAUACCUUUAUUUAAAAUGGAAAAAUAAUUCAUAUUAUAGACAAUUUUACUUUUAGAAAUAUUCAUUUGGUACACACAUGUAAUUUUAUCUGUGGUUUUUUUUAACAUAACAUUAUCUAAGUUGAACUGCCUUUGCUAUGAAGAGAUGUAACAAAAUUAUAUGCCUACCUGGUACUCAAUGCUGAAUCAAACUGGUUCACCUAAGCGUAGUACUCUCCUUUCUGUGUUUCUGCUGCACUAAUUGCAGGGGGUGGGAGAGGAGGAGGAAGAAUUAAUUCUCAGGAGAAGUAGUUGGUAGGUGCAGCAAACAGCAACACAACGUGGAUUUCUCAUUGCUUACAGUUUUGCUGUCCCUUCGUGGCAAAAGACACCACAUUGUGGGGAAAAGCACAGCUCCCAUGGUAAAAAAUUUAUACCUUUUUUAAAAAUGCUAUUAUCGAGAAAUUUUGAUUACCAAAUAUAUCUUUUGUGGUUUAUAUUGUAGUGGUGUGUAUAAAACACUUAGAAUUUUAUUUGUGGAAAUUGUACAUAGAAAAGUUGAAAUAGGUCUUCCCAAAUCCUAUGUGAAUGGAGAACCACGUUAAGACUGUACAUGACGUGCAAUAAACCAACUGGAAAAAGUG